RNAcentral lists this ribosomal RNA (304 nucleotides) under Bacillus cereus. RNAcentral describes it as "bacterial SSU rRNA". It matches the Rfam family "Bacterial small subunit ribosomal RNA", at positions 70 to 363 of the family's 1533-position model. The record is from RNAcentral. Lineage: Bacteria; Bacillati; Bacillota; Bacilli; Caryophanales; Bacillaceae.
GAUUAAGAGCUUGCUCUUAUGAAGUUAGCGGCGGACGGGUGAGUAACACGUGGGUAACCUGCCCAUAAGACUGGGAUAACUCCGGGAAACCGGGGCUAAUACCGGAUAACAUUUUGAACCGCAUGGUUCGAAAUUGAAAGGCGGCUUCGGCUGUCACUUAUGGAUGGACCCGCGUCGCAUUAGCUAGUUGGUGAGGUAACGGCUCACCAAGGCAACGNAUGCGUAGCCGACCUGAGAGGGUGAUCGGCCACACUGGGUACUGAGACACGGCCCAGACUCCUACGGGAGGCAGGAGNUAGGGAAU